Molecule: ribosomal RNA, 252 nt
Filed under: uncultured microorganism
Description: partial 16S ribosomal RNA
Rfam family: Bacterial small subunit ribosomal RNA
Source: RNAcentral
UACGUAGGUCCCGAGCGUUGUCCGGAUUAAUUGGGCGUAAAGCGAGCGCAGGUGGUUUAAUAAGUCUGAUGUAAAAGGCAGUGGCUCAACCAUUGUGUGCAUUGGAAACUGUUAGACUUGAGUGCAGUAGAGGAGAGUGGAAUUCCAUGUGUAGCGGUGAAAUGCGUACAUAUAUGGAGGAACACCGGUGGCGAAAGCGGCUCUCUGGCCUGUAACUGACCCUGAGGCUCGAAAGCGUGGGGAGCAACCAGG